This 429-nucleotide ribosomal RNA is filed under the name Chloroflexota bacterium. Its description in RNAcentral is "Chloroflexi bacterium partial 16S ribosomal RNA". It matches the Rfam family "Bacterial small subunit ribosomal RNA", at positions 355 to 776 of the family's 1533-position model. The record is from RNAcentral. Lineage: Bacteria; Bacillati; Chloroflexota.
UGGGGAAUAUUGCACAAUGGGCGCAAGCCUGAUGCAGCCAUGCCGCGUGUAUGAAGAAGGCCUUCGGGUUGUAAAGUACUUUCAGUCGGGAGGAAGGUGGUAAGGUUAAUAACCUUAUCAAUUGACGUUACCGACAGAAGAAGCACCGGCUAACUCCGUGCCAGCAGCCGCGGUAAUACGGAGGGUGCAAGCGUUAAUCGGAAUUACUGGGCGUAAAGCGCACGCAGGCGGUUGAUUGAGUCAGAUGUGAAAUCCCCGGGCUUAACCCGGGAAUUGCAUCUGAUACUGGUCAGCUAGAGUCUUGUAGAGGGGGAUAGAAUUCCAUGUGUAGCGGUGAAAUGCGUAGAGAUGUGGAGGAAUACCGGUGGCGAAGGCGGCCCCCUGGACAAAGACUGACGCUCAGGUGCGAAAGCGUGGGGAGCAAACAGG